GGAUGAACUGAGUUGCAGUCUCAUUAUGGUUACCUGCCAAGUCUUGAUCCUGACACCGGUCAUUGUUUUGAACAUGUUGACAUCUCUUACAGUGAUGUUGGAGACACAUGCCUUGGUGUUGUACCUUCCUAGGCCACCAAUGCUGAUCCCAUGGCCUGGUCCACAGUUCACAUUAUGUAUGUUUACGUCGCUGCAGCCUGUCUGUAUGGAGAUGCAGUCAUCACCUGCAUUGCACAAGGUGUAUUCCAUCCGUGUUGGGGCUAUUCUCAGGGGACGAGAUGGUCAGAUUAUGAACCAUGACUCCCUGACAGCUAUCGAACUUCAGAUGGCACUGCGGGCUGUUGAUGAUGCUGAUACCAGUUACUCUGACAUUGGAACUGCCAUAAAACCUUAGCGCCUGCAUAGCAGAGUACGCAACCACUCGCUACUUAAUUUGGUCUGAUAUGCAACGUCAAAGAUAUUCAAGUUCUGCAAUAGUGACUUAAUAAUAUGCUUACCGUGGGUUUAAUCUGUGGCAUUUUCUCCAGCUCCUGAUCAGUGUACUGUUGGAAGCAUCCAAAGUGCAAAUGUUCUUUACUUGGGAGCAGUGCUGAUGGUUACCUGGGUAUCAUCCGUAACUCCGUCACCCCGUGCUCCGAAAGCAACCACGCUGAACACCAUGCCCUGCGAUGGCGCUUCCGGUGGCGGCGACGGCGGUGCUUGUGGUGGUGGUGGAGACGGCGACGCGUGGCCAUUACCACCACCUGGACUAGGUGGUGCCGGCAUUGCAGGACUCUGGUGCCCUUUGCCGUACUG
Triticum aestivum (bread wheat) is the source of this 795-nucleotide long non-coding RNA. RefSeq lists it as uncharacterized. The record is from RefSeq and is a predicted model, not a curated record. The transcript is spliced from 3 exons. Lineage: Eukaryota; Viridiplantae; Streptophyta; Magnoliopsida; Poales; Poaceae.